UACGAAGGGAGCUAGCGUUGUUCGGAAUCACUGGGCGUAAAGCGUGCGUAGGCGGCUUCUCAAGUCAGGGGUGAAAUCCCACAGCUUAACUGUGGAACUGCCUUUGAAACUGAGAGGCUAGAAUGUGAGAGGGGAGUGGCGGGAAUUCCGUAAUGUAGAGGUGAAAUUCGUAGAUAUUAGGAGGAACACCCGUGGCGAAAGCG
RNAcentral lists this ribosomal RNA (203 nucleotides) under uncultured bacterium. RNAcentral describes it as "partial 16S ribosomal RNA". It matches the Rfam family "Bacterial small subunit ribosomal RNA", at positions 524 to 723 of the family's 1533-position model. The record is from RNAcentral.